AUAAUAUUGACCUUGAAAAAGACGAUAGUGUGAAAGCCGUCGUUGUAAAAAUUCGAGUAAACUGGAAUAUUACAGAUAAAGCCCAUGAGGUAUUAAAGUAAACAUCCACAACUCUCGAAAUCCUGCAAGGUAGGAUGAUUUUGAAUCAGUGAUUAGGUCUUAUCUGACCAAUUCUCGGAAACUACUAGCUUUAGCAGUAUUUUGGAGAAUCUAAAGCCUUAGCUUGUGUAUGGUCCAGACAUCACCGAGCACCCAAGUAUAAAUUAGCCUUACAAUUCUCUAACGGAAACUUAAUGACUUCAACUUAAGUUGCAUCUUGACCUAGGAUUUGGGCUGACUUAGUAAUUAAAACUUUGUGUGCUUUUGAAAUUCUUGGCAUUAAUGCAUUUGAAAUUAGAUUUUAUAAAACAAUAAAAUAAAUACUUUCGACAGCAGUUUGUGGGUACCUGAGCCAGAAACCCUCACGAGACAAAACUCGUCCGCUAGGGCCACCUAGGGGUUUAAAGCCUUAUUGCAUACGGUAAAUGCAAUCGCGAUUCUUGCGAAAGUGAGUUAGUUUUUUUUUUAUUUUGCUCGAGGACUAGCAAAAUGUAGGUUGGGGGGUGUGAUAAGUGCUAAAUAAUGCAUAAAUUAACCUUUUAUUCAUAGCACUUAUCAUUAUUUUAAUUUGCAUAUUUCGUAAAUUUAACCAUUAAAUAUGUGUUACCAUCAACAUUGCAUUUUAAUAAAUUAAUUUGAGUUUGAUUUAAUUAUUUAUUAAUUGAGCCUAAUGUAUGCAGGUCAAGUCAAAUUCAUUCUGAACCCAAAUCGCAUGCAGCCCCGAAAAUCAACCAGUGCCUUUCAUCCCACGUGUCUCCUCCUUUUUUUUUUUUUCCACGCUUUCAAAACAAAGCCAUCGUCACAGACAUCAUCCCAAACCUCCCAGCUAUCAGCCGUUCAUCCCAUUCCCUUCCAAAUCCAAGGAACAGAAACAUCCAUCGUCCAAGAUCUUCAUUCCAUUCUCUUUCCAGCCGAUUCUAGCUCUCUCUUCCAUCCUUAUCCAAUCACAAGAUAAACUUCCAGCAAACCUUAACAUCUGCAUCAAAGGAUCAAGUCUCCCCUAGCCGUGAGCUUCAUCCAAGAUCAUCCUUUGCUCCCAUGUCCAAAAAGAUAGAGCCAAAUCCAAGCUUUCCCACGCGUCUGGUUCACCUCCCCUGCUUCACCUCCAUAGCCGUUCGUUAGUCCAUAUCAAUCAUUCAUUCCAACUCCCUGGCUCCCACUUCUCCCUCGAGUUCGUUCCAGAUCAACCCCAUUCAACUGUGCCCGUGGAACAUCCCCCGUUUUCCAACCAUGAACAGCAUCCUCAACGUUCCCAACAUCUUCAUCUCCGCGUCAUCACAGAUUAUCCCACGUUCCAUUCUUUCUUCCCCUGCUUUAAAACAAAAUCCCCUGCAUCUCGGAUUACAUCCUUAUUUCGUAACUUCAUCAUCCCCUGUUACGUGUAUCUCCCAAGCUUCACGGCAUAGAACCAGAUCCCAACUUCUUUCGCUAGAUCACAGCGAGGAUGAGCCUUCCGAACUCCCAGAUUUCUUUCCAGCAUCCCAUGAAUCUAGCUUACAUUUUGUUGUGAUCCAUCUUCAUCCAAGUUCAUCCCAACAUCCACGUUUGAUCCCAGCUACAUCCAUUCGCAUCAGCCGUAUCCACUGAUCCCAAGCUUCAAUCGCAUCUCUCCCCUGUUCUAUGACAAUCAUCCAGAACCAAAUCUAGAUUAACACAUAAGAAUCCCAGCUCACGGUUCGUCAUUCCCUCUUCCGAAUCCUCCUCAUCUCCCCUUGUGGAGUGAUUGAUUAAAACCCC
Molecule: long non-coding RNA, 1836 nt
Filed under: Phoenix dactylifera (date palm)
Lineage: Eukaryota; Viridiplantae; Streptophyta; Magnoliopsida; Arecales; Arecaceae
Description: long non-coding RNA (PDAC_LNC006560)
Source: RNAcentral